This 500-nucleotide ribosomal RNA is filed under the name uncultured Glomus. RNAcentral's name for it is "SSU rRNA". It matches the Rfam family "Eukaryotic small subunit ribosomal RNA", at positions 591 to 1092 of the family's 1831-position model. The record is from RNAcentral. Lineage: Eukaryota; Fungi; Glomeromycota; Glomeromycetes; Glomerales; Glomeraceae.
CCAAUAGCGUAUAUUAAAGUUGUUGCAGUUAAAAAGCUCGUAGUUGAAUUUCGGGAUCAGUACGCUGGUCGUGCCUUUGGUAUGUACUGGUGUCACUGAUUCCUCCCUUCUGAAGAACCGUUAUGCCAUUUAUUUGGUGUGGCGGGAAAUCAGGACUGUUACUUUGAAAAAAUUAGAGUGUUUAAAGCAGGCUCGCGCUUGAAUACAUUAGCAUGGAAUAAUGAAAUAGGACGUUUGAUCUUAUUUUGUUGGUUUCUAGGAUCGACGUAAUGAUUAAUAGGGUUAGUUGGGGGCAUUAGUAUUCAAUUGUCAGAGGGGAAAUUCUUGGAUUUAUUGAAGACUAACUACUGCGAAAGCAUUUGCCAAGGAUGUUUUCAUUAAUCAAGAACGAAAGUUAGGGGAUCGAAGACGAUCAGAUACCGUCGUAGUCUUAACCAUAAACUAUGCCGACUAGGGAUCGGAUGAUGUUAAUUUUUUAAUGACUCAUUCGGCGCCUUACG